UGAAGACGAGUACACACUAUCAAUUAUGGCCCAUUAGGGUACAUUCGACUCAUGGAAUAAUAAGUUUAUUAAUCGAUAAAAUUAAUAAGAUUAAAAUACAUAUUUCUACAAACAUGCAAUAUACAUUGUUUCCACGGCUUGGCCGAAUCAGUCGGCUAAGAAUUUGAGCCGAUGAGAGCCGCAUACAUUGGCGGCGGCUCAGAUCACUUAAAAAACACGGCGGCGGCUAUGCGCCGACUGCAAGCCGUUCGGCUUCGUGCUCUGAACGCAAGGAUAUAUCUCAAGAAUAAAAACAACAAUCUCUCUAAUGGAUUCGGCUAAGCUAGAUAAAUACGUGGACGACGAUGUAUUUAGUUCCAUAUAAAGUGGGGUUUGUACUUUGGAGCAUUUUUCCAAUUAGCAUGUAUUUUGACAUCGAUUUUGCUGCCAUAUACUUCACAUCACGACCAGGAAAUCUCAACAGAGGACCCUAAAACGAACAGCAGCGGCGAGUCACAACCUGUAAAUCGAAGGUUGCACAAAAUUCGGAAGCAAGAAAAAAAAAAAGACGUUAGCUACUUAUAUGAUCUGCAUCCUGGGCCAUUAAAUUUUUCUAAUGGCUCCUCCUAUGUUAUAACUUAAUUUUAGUAAAAACAUAUUUCCAUUUUUAAAACCAAGAUAUUUGUAUUUAUCCUUCUAUUUCACAAAUAAGAAAUGAAAACUGAUUAUUAUUCACUAAUAAACAACCUACCGUAGAAAGGUUUAUAUGCAUA
Molecule: RNA transcript, 752 nt
Organism: Musca domestica (house fly)
Lineage: Eukaryota; Metazoa; Arthropoda; Insecta; Diptera; Muscidae
Exons: 2
Source: RefSeq, a predicted model, not a curated record